AGCAAAAGCCUUUUAUUCAUUCAAAAAUCAACCAUUGGGUUUAUUCCGCAGAUAUUAAAAAAAGGGGGUCAAGGCUUCCCAUCACAGUGCCCUUCUGCUAAUUAACUUGCUACCCCUGGGGAAGACCUUGAAGAGGGGCGUCUGGGAGACACGCUGUCAAUAACGUGGGGCUGGAGGCCCUGGCCUGGGGAGUCAGAGCCCCUCCUCGCCUCCCCACCUGCAGCCUCCCUCUGGAAUCAUCUGUUCGGCAGGUGGGGGCCCCAAAGGCCUUUGCAGCUCAUCGCCGCCAGGGGGCGCUGCCACGUUCCCUCGGAAGCUGAAGCUGAGCUGGCAACCGGGGAGCUUUCCAAGCUCGGCGGGCAGUGGGGUUUUCUCCAGGGGGAGGCUGCCUCUCCCCGGGGGCACCCCGACACCCCAACCUCUCCCCUACACACACACAGAGAACAGACAAUGUCCCCAAAAGCCCAGGUGCACCUGUCGUCUAGGAGGUGGGUGGCAAGCUGAAAAGCAUUUCAGGGGAACAGGGGGACACGUACUCUGACCGUCGCCUGGUUAAACACUGCAAACUCGGGACAUUCUCCUAAGUACCAUCAACACAGAGCGGGGAGCAGGCGCUGUGAGCAAGAAGCCAGGGCCGCUGAGGACUGGCUGCCCGAGGCUGGACCUUGCUCCUGGGCCCAGGGAGCCAGGAUGGCAGAGGGGCAGAGCCCAGCUUCCGCCUGGUCUGGGAUCCCCAGACAGCAGCAUCUGAUGGGGCUGGGGAGAGAGGCCCAUGGGCUGCUCCGGGUUCCGAGGGUGCGGCAGCUAGGGGCCCAGUGAGAGGAGGGGACAGCACUGUCCCUGUCUGGCAAGCUUGGGCGCUAAUGGCCAGUGUCCAGCACCCUUCCAGGAAGAAGGGUGGCCCUUCUGGCAGCUCUGGGCUGUCUGGGGGCAUGGACACAAGGUGUGCCUGAGGCGUGGGUCCACGGGAUCCUGGCUAAGGCCAAAAGCCACAACCAUGGCUCCAAACCAAAAGCCAAAGGGCACAGAGGUGGGAGGAAGGCCUCCCACAGACACUCAGAGAUCUCCACCCUGGAGGGGUCUGCCUGCUCAGCCCCGGGGGACUCAGUCACAGGCCCUUUCCCGUGAUGCUUCCAGGACGGGCUGCACAACAGCUCCUCCCCACGGGACCAGAGAGACAAACUGAGGCUCAGGCUGAGCCCGGAGAAGCAGCCUGACCCGGGACAGGCCUCACUCUCCUCCCCUCCAACCCCAUGUCCAAGUUCAUCUCCUGCCCUAGGAACCUAGGGCAGAGCAGGCUGAGGAGCUGCAGGAUUUGGCGGUGAGUCCUGGGCCUCGUGGGCCAGUGGCCUGAGCAGGAGGGUGACCUCAAGGAGCCCAGCCUUCAAAGGUGCCUGUGAAAAUGGAACCACUGCUCCCCGUCCCCACAGGACCUGGGGGGCUCACAGUGGAGCCAGAGCGCAGCCAAAGGGCCUGCUAAAGGCAGGGAGAGAGGGCUGGGCCAGCUGAGGUCCAGCCAACAGGAAUGGCCAUGCAAGCCACUCUCUGGCAGAGGGUCUGCUGGCGGAGGGGAAUGGGCAGGAGCCGCUCAGGCCUCCUGGGAAAGCGCCGAGUGGAGACGGAGGACGAUUCUCAGCGGGAACCGAGGGCCGGCUCCUCCGCUCCUGGGCAGGCUGAGCAGGGGGAUCACAGGCUGCUGGCUGUGCAAGGAAGCAGCAGGAAUUCUGGACUCAGGCCUGGCCCUAAACAGUCUGGGGGGCUGCUUCUCACCCCAGAAGCCUUCCCCGGGUGAGGACUAGUUCUGGGCCAAAAGAUGACUCCUAAGUCCAGGAGGGACCAGGAAGCCCUGCAGGGAGGGCCAAGGUGUUGUCUGACUUUCUUGGUGGUGGGUCUGGGGCUGCCCGUCUCAGUGGCAGGCAGAGCUAGAAGCUCCCUGUGAACACACGUGGGCCACAGCCCCAAGAGACGGCCACUACCUGGACGUCACUGGCUGCAGCCCUUUGCUCCUCCCCUCCCUCCCAGCAGGAGCUGAGAGAGGGAAGGCAAGAAGGAUGCUGUGUGGUCUACUGGACAAGGCAGACAGGCAGGCAGGAAAGCAGAGUGGGAGAAAACCGAGAGAUUUUCAAAAGCCACCAAGGAUGGAGAAAGGGCCUUCACUUCUGCUCACUUGCUUGCAAAGACCCCCUCUUCCCUCCUUCCUUAUGUACCCAUCCCUGCUUCCAGGCUCCCGUCUCAGGACGAGCCUCUCCAUUCUCAGGCUACUGCAAACACCAAAGCAAGAGUGGAGAAACCGAAAGAUGCCCCCUGGGGUCCUCGGAAAAGAUGUGAUGGACCCAGGGGAGGACACAGGACAGGAAGGAAGGUGCACAGGGAGCAGAGAAAAGGUUCAAGGAGGAGGCAUUCGGGCAGGAGGGAACAGUGCAUUAGCCAUUUAAGAAACCCACCUUCCCCCUCUCCAAACAUGGAGCACAGUAUCCAAAAAGAAAAAAAAAGGUUUUUGGCUUCUCGGCCGCUGCGGAGGCCACCAUCCUCCCAGGCGCUGGGCAGGUGGGUGAGGGCGUGCACAUGUAAACGGGGGGCCCCGCAUCCCUGGGGGCUUCGGACACACGAGGCAGCAGCAACAGUUAACACCAAUAAAUAAAAGAUAUCAAUUCUAUAUGUAUCAAAAAAAACCUCACUUUCCCCACAAAAAGCACAAUACUGUUAUCACAAAAAAUCAUCAUCAUCAUCAUUACUCAUCCUGGCCACGGAGGCGGUGCUGCUGCUGGAGGACGGGGGACCAAGGACGCGAACCAGGCAGCCCCCCAGCAUCCCGAGCCCACCCGUGGCCAGGCCGGGACCUCCGCGACCUCUCUGGCUGCCCGAGGACGGGGCGGAUUCCCUGAGUCCCCGAGGCCUCCUCCACAUCUGUCAGUCCGUAUCUUCUAGGACAGAAGGUAGUUUUUUUUUUCUUUUUCAAU
Molecule: long non-coding RNA, 2960 nt
Organism: Equus caballus (horse)
Lineage: Eukaryota; Metazoa; Chordata; Mammalia; Perissodactyla; Equidae
Source: Ensembl